CCUACGGGGUGCUGCAGUGGGGAAUAUUGGACAAUGGGCGAAAGCCUGAUCCAGCCAUGCCGCGUGUGUGAAGAAGGCCUUCGGGUUGUAAAGCACUUUCAGUGGGGAAGAAAGCCUUGGGGCUAAUACCCUCGAGGAAGGACAUCACCCACAGAAGAAGCACCGGCUAACUCCGUGCCAGCAGCCGCGGUAAUACGGAGGGUGCGAGCGUUAAUCGGAAUUACUGGGCGUAAAGCGCGCGUAGGUGGUCUGAUAAGCCGGUUGUGAAAGCCCCGGGCUCAACCUGGGAACGGCAUCCGGAACUGUCAGGCUAGAGUGCAGGAGAGGAAGGUAGAAUUCCCGGUGUAGCGGUGAAAUGCGUAGAGAUCGGGAGGAAUACCAGUGGCGAAGGCGGCCUUCUGGACUGACACUGACGCUGAGGUGCGAAAGCGUGGGUAGCAAACAGGAUUAGAUACCCCAGUAGUC
This 465-nucleotide ribosomal RNA is filed under the name Vreelandella stevensii. RNAcentral's name for it is "partial 16S ribosomal RNA". It matches the Rfam family "Bacterial small subunit ribosomal RNA", at positions 338 to 795 of the family's 1533-position model. The record is from RNAcentral. Lineage: Bacteria; Pseudomonadati; Pseudomonadota; Gammaproteobacteria; Oceanospirillales; Halomonadaceae.